AUGACUCAGGAACCUUUGUAUCCUGAAGGCCACCCUAAGAGAAUUGAGCAGGAUUCUCAGAGAAAUAAUUUAGAUGCACCUAGUCCUUCUAAAAGGAAGAAAAAGAAAAAUGAUAGGACUUUGCAUGCUUCUAGUGAACCUAUUGCUGAACCACCUGAGAAUCCAAAUGAUAUUUCUAUUUCUGAUGCUGAAACACAAUCUGGUAAUGAACAUGAACCAAGUGAAAAUAUUGAUGAAGAUGUUCAUGAUGAUGCUCAACCUAAUAAUAAUAAUGAUGUAGAAAUUGCACCUACUGUUGAUCUUGAUAACCCACAAUCAAAGAAUCAACGUUAUGAUAAGAGAGACUUUGUUGCUAGGAAACAUGGUAAAGAAAGAGAACCAUGGGUUCAGAAACCCAUGCCUUUUCCUCCCAAACCAUCCAAGAAAAAGGAUGAUGAGGAUUUUGAGCGCUUUGCUGAAAUGAUUAGACCUAUCUUUUUGCGUAUGCGCUUGACUGAUAUGCUCAAAAUGAAUCCGUAUGCUAAGUAUAUGAAAGAAAUUGUCACUAAUAAAAGAAAGAUACCGGAAGCUGAAAUUUCCACCAUGCUUGCUAAUUACACUUUUAAGGGUGGAAUACCUAAGAAACUAGGAGAUCCAGGAGUACCAACUAUACCAUGCUCCAUUAAAAGAAACUAUGUUAAAACUACUUUAUGUGACCUUGGAGCCGGUGUUAGUGUUAUGCCUCUCUCUUUAUAUCGUAGACUUGACUUGAAUAAGUUGACACCUACUGAAAUAUCUUUGCAAAUGGCUGAUAAAUCAACUGCUAUACUUGUCGGUAUUUGUGAGGAUGUGCCUGUUGUGGUUGCAAACGUUACUAUUUUAACGGACUUUGUUAUUCUUGAUAUUCCCGAGGACGAUAGUAUGUCUAUUAUUCUUGGAAGACCUUUUUUAAAUACUGCAGGGGCUGUUAUUGAUUGCAACAAAGGCAAUGUCACUUUUCAUGUUAAUGGCAACGAGCAUACGGUACACUUUCCGAGGAAACAACCUCAAGUCCACAGUAUCAACUCUAUUGGAAAAAUUCCAUCGAUUAUUUUUGGAGGUUUUGAAUUUCCUCUUCCUACUGUCAAAAAAAUAUGA
Molecule: ribosomal RNA, 1116 nt
Filed under: Triticum aestivum (bread wheat)
Lineage: Eukaryota; Viridiplantae; Streptophyta; Magnoliopsida; Poales; Poaceae
Description: partial small subunit ribosomal RNA
Source: RNAcentral